GAAAAGCAUAUUUUUUUGCAAGAGCAAUUAAAUACUUGGGUGCGUGGUAACAAUGAAUAUACCGCCAAAGGUGUGUAUAUUUUUGGACACCAACCACCUAGUAUUGAUGCAAGCGGUAAUGAGCAUGAAGAGGAGUAUGAUACAUAUACAUAUAUUGAUACUACUUCUUUGGUUUCCUCUACACAUAAUGAUGGGUUGCCGC
This 202-nucleotide long non-coding RNA is filed under the name Prunus persica (peach). RNAcentral describes it as "long non-coding RNA (PPER_LNC004835)". The record is from RNAcentral. Lineage: Eukaryota; Viridiplantae; Streptophyta; Magnoliopsida; Rosales; Rosaceae.